GUCCACGCCGUAAACGAUGCAGACUUGACGUUAUGGGAUUCAACCCCCAUGGUGUCGUAGCUAACGCGAUAAGUCUGCCGCCUGGGGAGUACGCACGCAAGUGUGAAACUCAAAAGAAUUGACGGGGGCCCGCACAAGCAGUGGAGCAUGUGGUUUAAUUCGAUGCAACGCGAAAAACCUUACCUGGGUUUGACAUGCAAAGGACCGGUUUAGAAAUAGAUCUUCCCGCAAGGGUCUUUGCACAGGUGCUGCAUGGCUGUCGU
RNAcentral lists this ribosomal RNA (263 nucleotides) under uncultured bacterium. Its description in RNAcentral is "partial 16S ribosomal RNA". It matches the Rfam family "Bacterial small subunit ribosomal RNA", at positions 793 to 1055 of the family's 1533-position model. The record is from RNAcentral.